Long non-coding RNA from Phyllostomus discolor (pale spear-nosed bat), 377 nucleotides. RefSeq lists it as uncharacterized. The record is from RefSeq and is a predicted model, not a curated record. The transcript is spliced from 2 exons. NCBI's taxonomy places the organism in Eukaryota, Metazoa, Chordata, Mammalia, Chiroptera, Phyllostomidae.
UAAGCAGAUGGCCUCCCGCCCCCAACCCCAGGCGCGUUCCUCAGUGGGGUGAAAAUGCCAGUCCUGGGAGCCAGGGCUCCGGGACCCCCGGGUUCGAGCUGGGCGCGGGAGCCCCGCGGGGACGCAGAGGCCGCCGAGUUUGAAGAAGUGGAGAAGAGAUCUACACAACUUAAGUGGGGCGAACUCAUCCCAUCUGCCUGCUCACUCUCCUUUGCCCCCAAUUCCAUCUCUGCGACACCCUGGCCCCCAAAAAGAAGUCACUCCCUGGGUUCUGUCUGCGGAGUGCCAGGGUGAGAGCGGGCAAGGCGAGAAAGCGACCUCACUUGUGGGCAAGUAGCUUGUUUUUACGUCCUUCAAUAAAAAUUUUAUGAGGAUCA